This is a long non-coding RNA of Panicum virgatum (switchgrass), 2790 nucleotides long. RefSeq lists it as uncharacterized. NCBI's taxonomy places the organism in Eukaryota, Viridiplantae, Streptophyta, Magnoliopsida, Poales, Poaceae. The record is from RefSeq and is a predicted model, not a curated record. The transcript is spliced from 6 exons.
CUUAAUACCCCACUGAGAUACGAAAGCAAAGCGCACCCACACUUCGUACCCAGCAAAAUUCCCCCUCCCCGAAAACAACGGCUCAGAUUACAUGCUGACAAAUCAAAAUCCAGAUCCAACCCAGGCUUCAACGCACGCGCACUGCACCGAAACCCCCAAUCCCCCGCCCGGCCACGUUGGAUUGGCGCCCUUCGUCUCCCAAAUUUCGGAGCGCCGCCGCCGCGCCGCCCGCUGCAGCCAGCUGCGCCCCGGCCACGGCGCCGUCCUCCGCGUCCGGCCACGCCCCCGCCGCGCCCUAGCUCCUUUGCGGCCGGCGUCCAGGGCGCCCGGUCUGCCGCGCGCCGCGGCCGGCCGGGGUGGGCCAAGCGGCUCCGCGUCCAGGGCCGCCGUGAGCCUCCGACGUGGGCGUCCGGCGUGGGCGGGAGCCGGGUGGCGAGCCGUGCGCCGCCGCCGUGAGCUGUCGCCAUGGGCGCACAGCCUGGGCGGGAGCCGUGCGGCGAGCCGUGGCCCUGCGUGCGGUGCGCCGUGCCGCGCCCGCCUUCCCGGCCAUCUCCGCCCCCGGGUGCCGCGCUCGGCGCAGGGCCGAGGUCUUCCACGCAGCGUGCCGCGCCCGCUCCGUCGCAGCCCUAGCCGACGUUGCCACGAUCCGCUGCCUCAAUGAAUCCUGUCGUCGAUCUGUGCGGCGACAGGGCCGCAACCCGUCCAGCUCCGCCUAGAGGGCUCGAUCUAUCUACAUCCAAAAUAGGAGUUGUGCUUCUUGUCCCGUUAACAGCUUUAGGGAAUAUUCGAGAAACUGUCAAGUAUGUGAAUGGAUCCACAUCAAGAAAGGAAAAAUUCAAGCUAAGUGCACAACAAGUUAAUGCUUCUAAUUUAUCUCUCAAAGCUGAUGUUCCAACUAGAUGGAAUUCUACUUUUCUUAUGCUUGAAAGAGCAGUGAAAUUCCGUGAUGCUUUUGACAGACUACAUGAAUGUGAUAGCUCAUACAUGUUCUUACAUUCCAAGGAGGACUGACACCAUAUUCAUUGCGUAGCAAAUUGUCUCAAGGUCUUUUAUGAGGUUAGAAAAAGAGUUUCAGGUACAAAAUAUCCCACUUUAAGUCUGUACUUCAAUGAUUUCUGUGGAAUUUAUCUUCCCCGUGAGUGGCAAUUUGGUGUUAAUACAUUUGUUCCAUCAAUGGCUGUACCAAUGGUGAAUAAGUCUUGGAAAUAUUGGGACAUUGCAAAUAAAUUAUUAGAGACUGCAACAAUUCUUGACCCCGCCUACAAAAUGAAAUCCAUCAAGUAAUACUAUAAAUUGCUUUAUGAUCCAUUUCUAGCUGAACUAAGAAUUGAAUCUGCAAGAAAAUCAUUUCUUGAGUUGUUUAGUGAAUAUGCAAGUCAACCCUCCCAAACAUCAUCAGAUGCUAACUCAUCAAGGAAUCGAAUCAGCAAGAUUUUUUUUUAUACUUAUAUAUAGGCUUUCUAACUUUAUUUUAACUGAAACAAUUGAGCCUAGGGGUGAUGAAGGUGACAUACCUACCUCUGAACCAUCUCUACCAACUAAAAGUUAAGAAAUGAUUAGUUCUAUGGUUAUGAUGCAGUUUCAGAUCAGAUGGCUUGUUUCGGGCUUUUAUUAUAUUCUGAAUUUCGUUGAUUAGUUCUCUAAUCACAGCUAAGCAUUUUACCAGGUUAGUUCUCUAUCACAGCUAACCUGGGUGGUUAGUUCUCUAUCACAGCUAACCUGGUAAAAUGAAGCAGCAAAGAGGGGACCAUGUUAGUUCUCUAUAACAGUUAAGCAUUUUACCAGGUUUCAUAUGUUUCCAAGCUGAUUUUUUUGCAGUAAAUACAUUGCCAUUCUUGGAUCCUUAUUCAGUCUUGGAUCUUGUGAACAAAUUGGUGCUUCAUGUCUGGCCUGAUAGUUUAAAACACUCAUGCUUGAUGUCUGAUCUAAUUUUUUAUAAACUGAGUCUUGAUGUCUGCAGAUGUGACACCUACUGUUAUCUUUAAACAUUGACAAGGACGUUGAGUUUUUAUAACAGUUGCAUGCAAUUUUCACUAUUUGUUCCAUUUUCAUAAUGUAUAAUUGAAACUUGCCUUUAUUAACAGUCGAGGCUGAAGGCCCAAGAGGAUCUGCAGAAAGUGGAAAAGAAACUUGCCUUUUAUUUCAAGUUUAUUUGCUUGCCAUUGUUGUUUUUCUUUUUUGUCUUGGGUGGCACUUAAUUGUCGAGGUCUUCCUAUCGCAACCAUCGAAUUUCUUUUUGUGUUUUAUUCUUCUUGCAGGUGUUUUGAGUUGUAGGUCGUGUGUAAUAUGGGUGUGAACAGAGACCCAAAUUAAAGCCUCAAAUCCGGUGUGCUAAUUUUGGCAUCAGAUUUCAGGAGUUAUUUGUUGCUAAUGUCAAUUAGCCUUUUUUUUGGCAUUAUACAUGACCUGCACCACCGAGAAUAUGAGAGGAUAGUAGCUGUUUGUGACAUUUCGAAGUUAUCCAAAAGAAGUGAGAGGCCUGAAGUUCGUGAUGCAGCUGGAGAGGCUUCUCUGCGAUCUUGCAAAGGCUGUGCUUGAGAAGCACAAGAGAUAUCUGGGCUGGCCAACUAUAGGUAGAGAAGAAAGAGAAAAAAAAAAGGGUUUUGGAGAGUUGAGUUAGUCCAUUCUGACCCACGCCGAGCAGAGCUUGAAUCAAGUCUCCAUGUUAGUACGUUAUGAGAAAAUUAUUGGUUUUAAAAUUUUAAAUUUGAUUUUGCUUUAUGGAUGUGUUUGUGUAAUAAAUAUAAUAACUGUCCUUUAUGUGAAAUAUAUAUUUCUCAGUUUGAACUA